UACGUAAAAUGCUAGCGUUAUCCGGAAUUAUUGGGCGUAAAGAGUUUGUAGGUGGUCGAGUGUGUUCAAUGUUAAAUCCUAGAGCUUAACUUUAGACUCGCAUUGAAUACUACCCGACUUGAGUAUGAUAGAGGUAAAGGGAAUUCCCAGUGUAGCGGUGAAAUGCGUAGAUAUUGGGAAGAACACCAACGGCGAAAGCACUUUACUAGGUUAAUACUGACACUGAGAAACGAAAGCUAAGGUAG
This 245-nucleotide ribosomal RNA is filed under the name uncultured bacterium. RNAcentral's name for it is "partial 16S ribosomal RNA". It matches the Rfam family "Bacterial small subunit ribosomal RNA", at positions 524 to 768 of the family's 1533-position model. The record is from RNAcentral.